This 465-nucleotide ribosomal RNA is filed under the name Vreelandella stevensii. RNAcentral describes it as "partial 16S ribosomal RNA". It matches the Rfam family "Bacterial small subunit ribosomal RNA", at positions 338 to 795 of the family's 1533-position model. The record is from RNAcentral. Lineage: Bacteria; Pseudomonadati; Pseudomonadota; Gammaproteobacteria; Oceanospirillales; Halomonadaceae.
CCUACGGGUGGCAGCAGUGGGGAAUAUUGGACAAUGGGGGCAACCCUGAUCCAGCCAUGCCGCGUGUGUGAAGAAGGCCCUCGGGUUGUAAAGCACUUUCAGUGAGGAAGAACGCCUGGUGGUUAAUACCCAUCAGGAAAGACAUCACUCACAGAAGAAGCACCGGCUAACUCCGUGCCAGCAGCCGCGGUAAUACGGAGGGUGCGAGCGUUAAUCGGAAUUACUGGGCGUAAAGCGCGCGUAGGUGGCUUGAUAAGCCGGUUGUGAAAGCCCCGGGCUCAACCUGGGAACGGCAUCCGGAACUGGCAAGCUAGAGUGCAGGAGAGGAAGGUAGAAUUCGCGGUGUAGCGGUGAAAUGCGUAGAGAUCGGGAGGAAUACCAGUGGCGAAGGCAGCCUUCUGGGCUGACACUGACACUGAGGUGCGAAAGCGUGGGUAGCAAACAGGAUUAGAUACCCUUGUAGUC